This 500-nucleotide ribosomal RNA is filed under the name uncultured bacterium. RNAcentral's name for it is "partial 16S ribosomal RNA". It matches the Rfam family "Bacterial small subunit ribosomal RNA", at positions 30 to 523 of the family's 1533-position model. The record is from RNAcentral.
AUUGAACGCCGGCGGCAUGCCUUACACAUGCAAGUCGAACGGCAGCACGGGAGCAAUCCUGGUGGCGAGCGGCGAACGGGUGAGUAAUAUAUCGGAACGUGCCCAGUCGUGGGGGAUAACGCAGCGAAAGCUGUGCUAAUACCGCAUACGAUCUAAGGAUGAAAGCGGGGGAUCGCAAGACCUCGCGCGAUUGGAGCGGCCGAUAUCAGAUUAGCUAGUUGGUGGGGUAAAGGCCCACCAAGGCGACGAUCUGUAGCUGGUCUGAGAGGACGACCAGCCACACUGGAACUGGGACACGGUCCAGACUCCUACGGGAGGCAGCAGUGGGGAAUUUUGGACAAUGGGCGCAAGCCUGAUCCAGCAAUGCCGCGUGCAGGAUGAAGGCCUUCGGGUUGUAAACUGCUUUUGUACGGAACGAAACGGCCCUUUCUAAUACAGGGGGCUAAUGACGGUACCGUAAGAAUAAGCACCGGCUAACUACGUGCCAGCCGCCGCCGUAA